This 390-nucleotide long non-coding RNA is filed under the name Salvator merianae (Argentine black and white tegu). RNAcentral describes it as "lncRNA (ENSSMRG00000009585.1)". Lineage: Eukaryota; Metazoa; Chordata; Lepidosauria; Squamata; Teiidae. The record is from RNAcentral.
CAAAACUUGAAGUACUGAAUGGCUUUCCAUGACUUUGUGCUUUUGCCUUAAAUGUAGGCAUGGAGCCUGUGGCAACUCAUGUCUGUUCUGAACAUGGGGUGCAAACGUGGAGUCAGUGGCUACACAUGUCCAAUCUGAAGUGAAUAUGAGGUGCAAAAAUGGAGUGUCUCUGGACCUGUCAACUGGCUUUCAGCAUGGAAUAAGGCGUCAGCAGAUCAGCCCCAAAGAACUGACCUGAACAGCACAGGAACUGACACUUUAACUACUAAUCCAUCUCCUAAUUGUACUCAUUGCUCAUCUCCUAUUUUGUGGUCAUUUAAAAACAACAACAGGAGUAUGGUUUUCUAAAAGUAAGUACUCUUGGUUUUCUAAAGUAAGUACUAUUGUAUA